This 396-nucleotide ribosomal RNA is filed under the name Triticum aestivum (bread wheat). RNAcentral describes it as "partial small subunit ribosomal RNA". The record is from RNAcentral. Lineage: Eukaryota; Viridiplantae; Streptophyta; Magnoliopsida; Poales; Poaceae.
AUGCCACCUCCAUCCCCGACCAUGCCACCCCAGUGCCAUCCCCUCCCAGACCACUCCCCCGAGCUUCCUCCGCCGCCCCGACCACUCCCCCGAGCUCCCUCUGCCGCCCCGACCACCAUUUGCCACCAGCCCUGCCGCUCGCUGGAGAUCCUCCAUCGAGCAGCGCCUUCGCUUCCAGGAGAUCCUGCUCGAGAAGCGUCGCCGCUUCCAGGAGCUGCUACCCUGAGAAGCGUCGCUGUUUCCAGAAGCUCCUUCCCGCCACGUCUUUCUCCCCUCCCCGAAGAGCGCCGACUACAUCCUCUCCCCCGAGCAGAUGCCGCUUCUGCGUUCUUUCACACGAGCAGUGCCGCGUCUACUACAUCGGGGUCUCCUCUACUUCCUCACUCCAACCCGUGA